RNAcentral lists this ribosomal RNA (253 nucleotides) under uncultured bacterium. RNAcentral describes it as "partial 16S ribosomal RNA". It matches the Rfam family "Bacterial small subunit ribosomal RNA", at positions 524 to 776 of the family's 1533-position model. The record is from RNAcentral.
UACGGAGGGUGCAAGCGUUAUCCGGAUUCACUGGGUUUAAAGGGUGCGUAGGUGGAUCGGUAAGUCCGUGGUGAAAUCCCCGAGCUUAACUCGGGAACUGCUGUGGAUACUAUCGAUCUUGAAUAUCGUGGAGGUAAGCGGAAUAUGUCAUGUAGCGGUGAAAUGCUUAGAUAUGACAUAGAACACCAAUUGCGAAGGCAGCUUACUACCCGAAUAUUGACACUGAGGCACGAAAGCGUGGGGAUCAAACAGG